RNAcentral lists this ribosomal RNA (492 nucleotides) under uncultured bacterium. RNAcentral's name for it is "partial 16S ribosomal RNA". It matches the Rfam family "Bacterial small subunit ribosomal RNA", at positions 29 to 507 of the family's 1533-position model. The record is from RNAcentral.
AGUGAACGCUGGCGGUAGGCCUAACACAUGCAAGUCGAACGGCAGCACAGUAAGAGCUUGCUCUUACGGGUGGCGAGUGGCGGACGGGUGAGGAAUACAUCGGAAUCUACUUUUUCGUGGGGGAUAACGUAGGGAAACUUACGCUAAUACCGCAUACGACCUACGGGUGAAAGCAGGGGAUCUUCGGACCUUGCGCGAUUGAAUGAGCCGAUGUCGGAUUAGCUAGUUGGCGGGGUAAAGGCCCACCAAGGCGACGAUCCGUAGCUGGUCUGAGAGGAUGGUCAGCCACACUGGAACGGAGACACGGUCCAGACUCCUACGGGAGGCAGCAGUGUGGAAUAUUGGACAAUGGGCGCAAGCCUGAUCCAGCCAUACCGCGUGGGUGAAGAAGGCCUUCGGGUUGUAAAGCCCUUUUGUUGGGAAAGAAAAGCAGCAGGUUAAUACCCCGCUGUUCUGACGGUACCCAAAGAAUAAGCACCGGCUAACUUCGUG